This is a long non-coding RNA of Helianthus annuus (common sunflower), 819 nucleotides long. RefSeq lists it as uncharacterized. Lineage: Eukaryota; Viridiplantae; Streptophyta; Magnoliopsida; Asterales; Asteraceae. The record is from RefSeq and is a predicted model, not a curated record. The transcript has 7 exons.
CAGAAUAUCUCAUUGUGUAAUUUUGGUGUCUUAUAUUGGUCUCGGAGUGCAUAUGGAGUAUGGAACAUAUUUGGAGGGAAGCUUGCAUGGGGACCCGGGGCAAUUGUUUGCGAUGAUCCAAAUUUCUAGGGUCGUGGAAAUCCUUCAAGCGGUGACAUAUUUCAUGCAGCACCAAACAUUGAUCAAUCAUCAAUCACAGGAUUUUGUAAGAAAUGACGUCAAAGAGUAGCUGAACUGGCUCAAGAACAAUAUUGGUUAUGAUGGCUGGCGCCUUGACUUUGUGAGGGGAUUCUCAGGUGAAUAUGUGAAAGAUUACAUUGAAGCUUCAAAUCCUGCAUUUGCCAUUGGGGAAUAUUGGGAUAGCCUAGCUUACGAAGGCGGUGAUCUAUGCUACAACCAAGAUGCACAUCGUCAACAUGUGAUUAACUGGAUCAACGCCACUGGUGGUACCUCAUCUGCAUUUGAUGUCACAACAAAUGGAAUACUUCAUUCUGCGGCAUAACCAGUAUUGGAAAUUAAUAGAUCCUAAUGGAAAACCAACUGGGGUAAUGGGAUGGUGGCCCUCACGCGCUGUCACAUUCGUGGAAAAUCAUGAUAAUGGAUCAACACAGGGUCAUUGGCCGUACCCAUACCCAGGAGAUAAGCUUAUGCAAGGAUAUGUAUACAUCUUAACCCAUCCCCGGAAUGCCUGUGAUAUUUUACGACCAUUUUUAUGAUUUUGGGCUCCGUGAUGUUAUAACGGGAUUAAUCGAGGCAAGAAAACGGGCUCGGAUCCCUCCCAUGCAGCUUAUUAUUUUAUCAUGCUCUAUCACACAUAUU